GAUGAACGCUGGCGGCGUGCCUAAUACAUGCAAGUCGAACGCUGGAGAUCUAGCUUGCUAGAUCGAAGGAGUGGCGAACGGGUGAGUAAUACAUAAGCAACCUACCCACGAAGACUGGGAUAAUCUCUGGAAACGGGGACCAAUACCGGAUAGGUAAUCGGAAGGCAUCUUCUGGUUAUUAAAGGUUAAAAACACUGGUGGAUGGGCUUAUGGCGCAUUAGUUAGUUGGUGAGGUAACGGCCCACCAAGACGAUGAUGCGUAGCCGGCCUGAGAGGGUGAACGGCCACAUUGGGACUGAGACACGGCCCAGACUCCUACGGGAGGCAGCAGUAGGGAAUUUUCGGCAAUGGGGGCAACCCUGACCGAGCAACGCCGCGUGAGUGAAGACGGCCUUCGGGUUGUAAAGCUCUGUUGUAAGGGAAGAACGGUAGAUAGAGAAUAUCUAAGUGACGGUACCUUACCAGAAAGCCACGGCUAACUACGUG
Molecule: ribosomal RNA, 486 nt
Filed under: uncultured bacterium
Lineage: Bacteria
Description: partial 16S ribosomal RNA
Rfam family: Bacterial small subunit ribosomal RNA
Source: RNAcentral